This 497-nucleotide ribosomal RNA is filed under the name uncultured bacterium. RNAcentral's name for it is "partial 16S ribosomal RNA". It matches the Rfam family "Bacterial small subunit ribosomal RNA", at positions 28 to 507 of the family's 1533-position model. The record is from RNAcentral.
GACGAACGCUGGCGGCGUGCCUAAUACAUGCAAGUUGAGCGCUGAAGGUUGGUACUUGUACCAACUGGAUGAGCAGCGAACGGGUGAGUAACGCGUGGGGAAUCUGCCUUUGAGCGGGGGACAACAUUGGGAAACGAAUGCUAAUACCGCAUAAAAACUUUAAACACAAGUUUUAAGUUUGAAAGAUGCAAUUGCAUCACUCAAAGAUGAUCCCGCGUUGUAUUAGCUAGUUGGUGAGGUAAAGGCUCACCAAGGCGAUGAUACAUAGCCGACCUGAGAGGGUGAUCGGCCACAAUGGGACUGAGACACGGCCCAAACUCCUACGGGAGGGAGCAGUAGGGAAUCUUCGGCCAUGGACGAAAGGCUGACCGGGCAACGCCGCGUGAGUGAAGAAGGUUUUCGGAUCGUAAAACUCUGUUGGUAGAGAAGAACGUUGGUGAGAGUGGAAAGCUCAUCAAGUGACGGUAACUACCCAGAAAGGGACGGCUAACUACGUG